UACAGAGGGUGCAAACGUUGCUCGGAAUUAUUGGGCGUAAAGUGUGCGCAGGCGGCAGAGCAAGUCGAGUGUGAAAGCCCCGGGCUUAACUUGGGAAUUGCGCUCGAAACUACUUUGCUGGAGUGUGGCAGAGGAAGGUGGAAUUCCACGUGUAGCGGUGAAAUGCGUAGAGAUGUGGAGGAACACCAAUGGCGAAGGCAGCCUUCUGGGCCAACACUGACGCUCAUGCACGAAAGCGUGGGGAGCAAACAGG
This 253-nucleotide ribosomal RNA is filed under the name uncultured bacterium. RNAcentral's name for it is "partial 16S ribosomal RNA". It matches the Rfam family "Bacterial small subunit ribosomal RNA", at positions 524 to 776 of the family's 1533-position model. The record is from RNAcentral.